AAUCUGCCCUCGGGAGGGGGACAACCGCUGGAAACGGCGGCUAAUACCCCAUAAGCCCACGGGUGAAAGUUCCGGCGCCCGAGGAGGAGCUCGCGUCCGAUUAGCUAGUUGGUGGGGUAAGAGCCUACCAAGGCGACGAUCGGUAGCUGGUCUGAGAGGAUGAGCAGCCACACUGGGACUGAGACACGGCCCAGACUCCUCCAGACUCCUACGGGAGGCAGCAGUGGGGAAUCUUCCGCAAUGGGCGCCAGCCUGACGGAGCUAUACCGCGUGAGGGAAGAAGGCCCUUGGGUCGUAAACCUCUUUUCUCGGGGAAGAAAGAUGACGGUACCCGAGGAAAAAGCCUCGGCCAACUCCGUGCCAGCAGCCGCGGUAAUACGGAGGAGGCAAGCGUUAUCCGGAAUUAUUGGGCGUAAAGCGUCCGCAGGUGGCACCUCAAGUCGGCGGUGAAAGGCUGGGGCUCAACCCCAGACCAGCCGCUGGAAACUGAGGAGCUAGAGUGCGGUAGGGGUAGAGGGAAUUCCCAGUGUAGCGGUGAAAUGCGUAGAGAUUGGGAAGAACACCGGUGGCGAAAGCGCUCUACUGGACCGCAACUGACACUCAGGGGACGAAAGCUAGGGGAGCG
RNAcentral lists this ribosomal RNA (625 nucleotides) under uncultured cyanobacterium. RNAcentral describes it as "bacterial SSU rRNA". It matches the Rfam family "Bacterial small subunit ribosomal RNA", at positions 123 to 770 of the family's 1533-position model. The record is from RNAcentral. Lineage: Bacteria; Bacillati; Cyanobacteriota.